RNAcentral lists this ribosomal RNA (460 nucleotides) under uncultured bacterium. Its description in RNAcentral is "partial 16S ribosomal RNA". It matches the Rfam family "Bacterial small subunit ribosomal RNA", at positions 338 to 795 of the family's 1533-position model. The record is from RNAcentral.
CCUACGGGAGGCUGCAGUGAGGAAUAUUGGUCAAUGGACGAGAGUCUGAACCAGCCAAGUAGCGUGAAGGAUGACUGCCCUAUGGGUUGUAAACUUCUUUUAUAUGGGAAUAAAACAGGGUAUGCAUACCCUCUUGUAUGUACCAUAUGAAUAAGGAUCGGCUAACUCCGUGCCAGCAGCCGCGGUAAUACGGAGGAUCCGAGCGUUAUCCGGAUUUAUUGGGUUUAAAGGGAGCGUAGGUGGAUUGUUAAGUCAGUUGUGAAAGUUUGCGGCUCAACCGGAAAAUUGCAGUUGAAACUGGCAGUCUUGAGUACAGUAGAGGUAGGCGGAAUGCGCGGUGUAGCGGUGAAAUGCUUAGAUAUCACGCAGAACUCCGAUUGCGAAGGCAGCUCACUGGACUGCAACUGACGCUGAUGCUCGAAAGUGUGGGUAUCGAACAGGAUUAGAUACCCGUGUAGUC